Long non-coding RNA from Pogoniulus pusillus (Red-fronted tinkerbird), 373 nucleotides. RefSeq lists it as uncharacterized. Lineage: Eukaryota; Metazoa; Chordata; Aves; Piciformes; Lybiidae. The record is from RefSeq and is a predicted model, not a curated record. The transcript is spliced from 3 exons.
GUUUGUUCUUACCAGAGGCUCUGAUGGCUUUAUCUGAUCACAGGUUUUCCUCAGGAAGGAAGGGCCCAGCCUUGCCAUGCUCACCCCCACCGUGGCAUCUCCACUGGUCCCACUCAGCAGCCCUGAGGCCACCAAAGCAUCCCCAUGGUGGUACCCGGAGCGGAGGGAUGCUGCUGCCAGCUCAGAUCCUGCCAGGGCCAACCCAAGCCUCUUGCCUUGAUUGAUCCAGAGGAACUGCAGCCUCACUCCUCCCAGCUCCCUCCAGCUCCACCUCCAGCUCAGUCCCGCCGCGCAGGUGGAAUAUCCCCAUUUGGCAUCAUCCUCCAGAGAGGCUCAGUGUGUGGUACCUGGCAGCAGGAAUUUCCUGAAGCCU